Herpailurus yagouaroundi (jaguarundi) is the source of this 1711-nucleotide long non-coding RNA. RefSeq lists it as uncharacterized. The record is from RefSeq and is a predicted model, not a curated record. Lineage: Eukaryota; Metazoa; Chordata; Mammalia; Carnivora; Felidae. The transcript has 3 exons.
UAGUUCAGCGUGGGUGAGGAAGAGCGCCCACCUUAUGUGAAAAGUGCGGACUUGUUUCUGCCCUCUGCCAUCGUGGUGAAGGUUUGUUGAGCAACGGACCGCUUCCCUAAGGAGCAGGGUGCUCGCCGAGAACCUACGAAGAGCAUGGGCGUGGAGGCUGACCGCCUCGGGUCCAGCCCCGGGAUUCAGCUUGGAGCUGGGAUGCGCAGGUCACUGGGCGCCUGCACCUGUGUUCCCUCAUCUGCAGUGGCUGUGGGCAUCAGCGUCCUCAUCCGAGCUGUUGUAGGGACGAACCCGCGGACCCAGUGGCUGUGAUCUUUGACCAAGGAGGCAGGAAUAGCCAGUGGGAAAAAGACAGUCUCUUCGAUAAAUUAUCCUGCGAAAACUGAACAGCCACAUGCGAGAGAAUGAAACCAGACCACUUUCUUACACCGUACACAAAAUUAACUCUAAGUGGAUUAAAGACCUAAAUGUGAGGCCUGAAACCGUAAAAUGUAUAGAAGAGAGCCCAGGCAGUAAUCUGACAUGGACCAUAGCAACACUUUUCUAGAUAUGUCUCCUAAAAACAUGAUUUUCAUUAAAAAAAAUCAUUCUGUGUAUUGAGCGUCUCUCCCGAGCCGGCGCCUUCUCUCGGGAGCUCCCGGACUGGUCUGGCAGGAGAGAGACCCACAGGCGGAGAGGACAGAAGCAUCCUGGAUGGACACGAAGAGGCUUGCCAAUGUAAAAGGGAUAUCACGGAGGUCUAAAAAGCAAAUGUUUUCCAAGUACAGUCUCCGAUCCUCAAGAAUACCAGUAGUUUCAAAAGUAACUGUUAAACGUCAACUAGGGGAAUACUAGUGCAGGGGAGUGGCGCUUAAUGAAACGUUGAUUGGUGACUGCAUUCUUUCGAAACCGGAAUGGCUCCCAAGGGCUUCAUUGCACAACCCGGGACCCAGGCAGACCAACAGACCGUUCAGUGACUAGCAGGGUACUGCAUUUCCGACAUCUGUGUAUCUCAGCACGUUUGAUUUAUUGGAAACCCACAGCAAAAUGUCUGGGCUGAGAACACAUGACUGCGUGUCCCUUAUGUCCCUGGGAACCUCGCGCAGGAGGAGGCCUCUGGGAGCGGCUCCUUCCAGCCCCGACUCGGAGGAGUUGGGUCAGCCGCGAUGCUGUGGAGAAGCAGGUGGCCCCCACGAGGUGCCGGGGACCACAGACGCACCUUCUCUCCCCCUCACAGCAAAGCUGCGCGAGGUGAGGAAUGACCGAGAAGGUUCUGGAACAAAGGGGCAGCCAGAUGGGAGGAACAUGGGGAAUAUGGAGAAACGGUCCAGUGGGCCCAGGCAGUGUGGGAUUCCGGGCCGGAGACCGUGCACGUUCCUCCCGUUUGGGAAUAUCUUUGGAAAAUCACAGCAUUUCAUUCAACCAGACUUAUUUUGAAAGCAAGUGAGUGUUACCUGUUAAAAAUCCAAGGGAGUUGUUUUGGUCUAUACAGUAAGCAUCUCUCAGUCCCGUUUUCAGGGCCUAACCUGCUCCCCACCCUGCACAAGGCCCUGGGGGUUCUCAAGCAGAGAGGGCGGCUUCCUGCCCACAGGGUAUUCAUCACGAGUAGGGCAGCUGAGCGCGUGAACCUGGUCGGUACGGUGCACAGUGCCAAGGAGGAGAGGAAAUGCAGGUGGGGUGGGCGCCCUGGAGCAGGAGGUGGUGAGCCCCAGAGCAGGAGUGGGCGUGA